AAGUUUGUUUCAAAACAACGUACACCUUUAUAUUGAGAAAUUUGUUUACAAUUUAUCACAAUGCGUAAAAUGGAAGGAUUUUAAAACAUCAAGGUUGCAAUGUUAGAAAAUUAAAACUUUAUCAUCUAGUGUUAAACGUAAUUGUGUGUGAGAUGUGUUUAGCCCAACAAAACAUAUUUAAAUUUUAAUGGUUAAUGCAUGUGUACUUCAUAAUGCAUGAACGAUAAGAAAUUAUUUAAGUACGUUGCUAAUAGCAAUAUAAUAUUUUGUAAAUUGAUAUUACAAGUACGUUAGUGUACACUAUAACAAAAUACAUAAUCAUCGAAAAAGACUUGUAAAUUGCACAUGAUUUUUUCUUUUUAUUUUUUAUUUUUUAUUUUAUUUUAGAAAAGACUUGAAAGGUACUUUCCCAUUUUUCUCAUGGGAUAACUCUCUCAAAUUAGAUAUAGAAUUAUGGAUCAAAUAUGAAACCUUAUUUUUAGCAUGGGUACCAUAUACAAACACACACGAAGAAUUUACACACACACAUAUAUAUUGUGGAAACAUAAAAUAUUGGCGACCAAUGGGAUUUUUAGCAUGGGUACCAUAUACAAACACACACGAAGAAUUUACACACACACAUAUAUAUUGUGGAAACAUAAAAUAUUGGCGACCAAUGGGAACUGGCAAGUGUAUAACUUAUCAAAUAUGACUACUAACAGAAUACGCACAUCAUUAAUCCAACCUUAACAGGAUAACGGGUCACAGUCUCUACCAAGACCUUAGAAGCCACAAUCAACAUACCUGAUACCUUAGGCCCAAUUAUUCGCCAACAAUCCAAGUUGAUCACCAUGCGACCUACGCAUAUUAUCUUGAUUUUCAACAGCUUGCCUAUUAGUCUUUGCAUAUUCCAGGAAUUUCAGUGACACAUCACAACACGGAAUGUCCACUAAGACUCCAAACCAAGCUGUGUUGGCCGACACCUGAAAGGUGAUGAAGCCAUAAAGUGUAGUGAUGUGGAAAAAUGUGAAUAAAUUUAAACCUAAAGGUGCCUAAAUAUAAGAGUGCGUUGUGAGGGGGAAUGAAUCAAUUUCACCUGUGAUGACGGAGCAUAAGUAAAGUACAGUAAGGUAGGAUAAGGAUUAUACCAUUAUAGGUAGCCACCUAUAUUGAGAUUUGCCAAGAAUCCUUGUUGAUAAGAAAGCUCAACUACUAAAACCUGGAAGGGCGAAAAAUAAGGGUGAGUGGGCCAGAAAAUAAAGUUUUAUAAAAAUCUUUCUGAAAACAUUGUAACCCCUUGCCGUAAAACAAGUAUAAUUUCAAAAAUAUACUUACUACAUAGAGUAUAAAAAUACUUACCGUAGCCUGCAAAAUCUCAAGAAUUCAUUACGGCACAUAUCUCAACAGUAAUAUAAGUAAAAUCAGGUGUUCAAUCAAUCUAUACUAGCAUACAAGUCAGAGUCGCCUAAUGUGACCUGUACGACUGAACUGAUGCUCAUCAAUCUGUACUAGCACACAAGUCGGGGUCGCCUAAUGCGACAUGUACGAUAGAACUAGGUGUAAUUAUAAUAUACGCUCUAGUGCUACAAUCACGUGAAGACUGGCGCUAUUCGUGGUCACCUACAAGUCGGAGUUGCCUAAUGCAACCUGUACGACAAGACUGGUAUCUACUUGAAUCCAAGGCGAGCGUGCGAUGCGAAGGUGAACAUACACAUGAAAGAUUGGCCCUUGCCUUGGGCAAGCAUUAACACCGGGAUGUAGCAAUGAUGAGCAAACUACAUAAAUAUACGCAUGCCACAGUGAUUCGAUAGUUCUAAUUAACAUACUAACAUUCAUAGCCAUAGAUAUAAUUAUGGCAUCAAAGAUUCUAAGCAUACCUGUGCAUCCCGGAGGAUGUAGCAUAUUUCAUAAAUUUCGUCAUUUUGCUAAUUCUUAUAAACUUUAGUCUAAUCUAGGUGCACGUAAGAAAUUUUUCAAAUGCAUAAAUGGAAACUAUCAACCAUAUAUAUACUAUAAAAAGGAAAAGACCCACUUGCCUGAAGUCCAAGCUACAACUCUGUAGCAUGAAUAUCGAGGCGCCACGAAUGAUCGUCGCCUAGAACAAUUAUCAAAUCAUGUCUCAAAAUUCUUAUUGAUAGAACACAUAACUUACAUAAAAUACAUCCCCAAUGACGUUCUAGAAUGAUUUGUAACUCAUUAACCAAAAGUCAACCGUCAGUCAAAUGUCAACGGCAGGGUCCACAACCCUACAUAACUCAUUCGGGAAGAUUCGCACCUCGAAUUUUUUAUCCGUAACUUCCCAAGAGUUUCAAUAAGCUUCUAGAACAACAUCCUAAAGUUUCGGAAUGAUCCAACGGUCAGAUCUCCGUCAAUCGCUAAAAUUAAGUGGUGGCCAACGUUUAGAUUUAGAAACUUAGAAAACCCAUCCAUCAGUUCCUAAUAUCCUUAAAUAUUACGUAAUAUCAUGUAUUAAAGUUUGGUGACGAUCCAACGAUCGGAUCAUCAAAUCAUAUAAGGAUCAAGUGGCGGUCUCUAUCAAAACUAUGUUCAAACGAUGAGAUUUCAACAAUCGGACUUCAACUAUGGAAUUGGGGUAUCAAAUUUAGCCUAGGAAGGUCA
RNAcentral lists this long non-coding RNA (2598 nucleotides) under Malus domestica (apple). RNAcentral's name for it is "long non-coding RNA (MDOM_LNC005864)". The record is from RNAcentral. Lineage: Eukaryota; Viridiplantae; Streptophyta; Magnoliopsida; Rosales; Rosaceae.